CAUUGGGAAGUUCAUUGUGCAAUUCAAUGUAUCUUGAGAGAUAAUCUUGUAUUAUGAGAGCUAGUGAUUAAAGAAGUAUAUAAUAAAAUUAUUUUAAAUUAAUUAUAAUUGUUUAGUAGAAUGAAUCGAAAUAUAAUAGGAUAAGCUAUAGAGAAGAGUACUGUGAAGGAAAGAUGAAAUAAAUUUGAAAAUUGAGUUAAUAAAAAGUAGUUAUAUAAAUUCGUACCUUGUGUAUCAGGGAAAACUAAAAUUGUCUGUAAAUUUGAGAAAUCCCGAAAAAAGAAGAGUUAAUUCAAAAAGAAAGUUUUCGUGUUAAUGAAAUUUUAAAUUUUGUUUUAGUAGUGAAAUGUUAGUCGAUUUUUUAUAUCUGGUUAUUAGAGAAUUAAAUUUAAUUUAGUUGCUUAAUGGUUGAAUAUAACUAAUAAGUAAUAAAGAAUAGGAGGGAAGAGCUUCUUAUUCUAUAAUGGUUAGAUUGUGAUUUAAAACUUAUUUAGAUUUGUUAAAUUAGGCUUAAAAACAGCCAUAUU
Molecule: ribosomal RNA, 527 nt
Filed under: Pleoticus muelleri
Lineage: Eukaryota; Metazoa; Arthropoda; Malacostraca; Decapoda; Solenoceridae
Description: partial 16S ribosomal RNA
Source: RNAcentral